UGCUGUUAUCAAGUCCCAGAUAUCCAAGAUCCUUUCUCUUUCAGGUAAAGCUUCUUUGGCCCUUAUUAUCUGAGCGACUAUAAAAUUAAAGGAAUCCCUUCCUUCCAUCAUGUCCAGUUCCACUAAAAAUAACCUUUCUCCUACUCUUUA
Long non-coding RNA from Pipistrellus kuhlii (Kuhl's pipistrelle), 150 nucleotides. RefSeq lists it as uncharacterized. NCBI's taxonomy places the organism in Eukaryota, Metazoa, Chordata, Mammalia, Chiroptera, Vespertilionidae. The transcript is spliced from 3 exons. The record is from RefSeq and is a predicted model, not a curated record.